This 870-nucleotide ribosomal RNA is filed under the name uncultured bacterium. RNAcentral describes it as "bacterial SSU rRNA". It matches the Rfam family "Bacterial small subunit ribosomal RNA", at positions 51 to 923 of the family's 1533-position model. The record is from RNAcentral.
ACACAUGCAGUCGAACGGGAAACCUUUUAUUGAAGCUUCGGCAGAUUUAGAUUGUUUCUAGUGGCGGACGGGUGAGUAACGCGUGGGUAACCUGCCUUAUACAGGGGGAUAACAGUCAGAAAUGACUGCUAAUACCGCAUAAGCGCACAGAGCUGCAUGGCUCAGUGUGAAAAACUCCGGUGGUAUAAGAUGGACCCGCGUUGGAUUAGCUAGUUGGUGGGGUAACGGCCCACCAAGGCGACGAUCCAUAGCCGGCCUGAGAGGGUGAACGGCCACAUUGGGACUGAGACACGGCCCAGACUCCUACGGGAGGCAGCAGUGGGGAAUAUUGCACAAUGGGGGAAACCCUGAUGCAGCGACGCCGCGUGAAGGAAGAAGUAUCUCGGUAUGUAAACUUCUAUCAGCAGGGAAGAAAAUGACGGUACCUGACUAAGAAGCCCCGGCUAACUACGUGCCAGCAGCCGCGGUAAUACGUAGGGGGCAAGCGUUAUCCGGAUUUACUGGGUGUAAAGGGAGCGUAGACGGAUGGACAAGUCUGAUGUGAAAGGCUGGGGCUCAACCCCGGGACUGCAUUGGAAACUGCCCGUCUUGAGUGCCGGAGAGGUGAGCGGAAUUCCUAGUGUAGCGGUGAAAUGCGUAGAUAUUAGGAGGAACACCAGUGGCGAAGGCGGCUUACUGGACGGUAACUGACGUUGAGGCUCGAAAGCGUGGGGAGCAAACAGGAUUAGAUACCCUGGUAGUCCACGCGGUAAACGAUGAAUGCUAGGUGUCGGGUGACAAAGUCAUUCGGUGCCGCCGCAAACGCAUUAAGCAUUCCACCUGGGGAGUACGUUCGCAAGGAUGAAACUUAGAGGAAUUGACGGGGACCCG